AUACGUAGGGGGCGAGCGUUGUCCGGAAUGAUUGGGCGUAAAGGGCGCGUAGGCGGCGCGGUAAGUCUGGAGUGAAAGUCCUGCUUUCAAGGUGGGAAUUGUUUUGGAUACUGCCGCGCUUGAGUGCAGGAGAGGUUAUCGGAAUUCCCGGCGUAGCGGAGAAAUGCGUAGAGAUCGGGAGGAACACCAGUGGCGAAGGCGGGUAACUGGACUGCAACUGACGCUGAGGCGCGAAAGUGUGGGGAGCAAACAGGAUUAGAUACCCUGGUAGUCCACACUGUAAACGAUGAAUGCUAGGUGUAAGAGGUAUCGACCCCUUUUGUGCCGGAGUCAACACAAUAAGCAUUCCGCCUGAGGAGUACGGCCGCAAGGUUGAAACUCAAAUGAAUUGGCGGGG
This 397-nucleotide ribosomal RNA is filed under the name uncultured bacterium. RNAcentral's name for it is "partial 16S ribosomal RNA". It matches the Rfam family "Bacterial small subunit ribosomal RNA", at positions 523 to 918 of the family's 1533-position model. The record is from RNAcentral.